GUGGGGAAUUUUGGACAAUGGGCGCAAGCCUGAUCCAGCAAUGCCGCGUGCAGGAAGAAGGCCUUCGGGUUGUAAACUGCUUUUGUACGGAACGAAAAGGCUCUGGUUAAUACCUGGGGCUCAUGACGGUACCGUAAGAAUAAGCACCGGCUAACUACGUGCCAGCAGCCGCGGUAAUACGUAGGGUGCAAGCGUUAAUCGGAAUUACUGGGCGUAAAGCGUGCGCAGGCGGUUUUGUAAGACAGAGGUGAAAUCCCCGGGCUCAACCUGGGAGCUGCCUUUGUGACUGCAAGGCUGGAGUGCGGCAGAGGGGGAUGGAAUUCCGCGUGUAGCAGUGAAAUGCGUAGAUAUGCGGAGGAACACCGAUGGCGAAGGCAAUCCCCUGGGCCUGCACUGACGCUCAUGCACGAAAGCGUGGGGAGCAAACAGGAUUAGAAACCCCGGUAGUCC
RNAcentral lists this ribosomal RNA (450 nucleotides) under uncultured bacterium. RNAcentral's name for it is "partial 16S ribosomal RNA". It matches the Rfam family "Bacterial small subunit ribosomal RNA", at positions 354 to 796 of the family's 1533-position model. The record is from RNAcentral.